GACACCUAAGCCUUCACUGGUGUCUUCAUCCUUCCGCCCAUGUGAUGCUUAUCUUACAGCACUUGAAAUUCUGUUUCAGAUCUAGCUUCAAGGAAUUAAGCUUUCAGAAACAGGCACCAACUCUGAACUCCUAAUUUUCAAAUGCUUAUGAAAAGAUAUCUGGAUCUGACUUGCAGAGUAUCGAUUACUCACAAAUCCAGGUUUUCAAGCCAAGUUUUCAUGAUACGAUCCAGCUGGCUUACAGGGAU
This 248-nucleotide long non-coding RNA is filed under the name Corvus moneduloides (New Caledonian crow). RNAcentral describes it as "lncRNA (ENSCMUG00000016280.2)". The record is from RNAcentral. Lineage: Eukaryota; Metazoa; Chordata; Aves; Passeriformes; Corvidae.